GGGCGAGUAGCUCAGCUGGGAGAGCGCCGGCGUCGCAUGCCGGAGGUCGCGAGUUCGAUCCUCGUUUCGUCCA
This 73-nucleotide transfer RNA is filed under the name Aerococcus sp. Its description in RNAcentral is "tRNA-Ala". It matches the Rfam family "tRNA". Rfam says of the family: Transfer RNA (tRNA) molecules are approximately 80 nucleotides in length. Their secondary structure includes four short double-helical elements and three loops (D, anti-codon, and T loops). Further hydrogen bonds mediate the characteristic L-shaped molecular structure. tRNAs have two regions of fundamental functional importance: the anti-codon, which is responsible for specific mRNA codon recognition, and the 3' end, to which the tRNAs corresponding amino acid is attached (by aminoacyl-tRNA synthetases). tRNAs cope with the degeneracy of the genetic code in two manners: having more than one tRNA (with a specific anti-codon) for a particular amino acid; and 'wobble' base-pairing, i.e. permitting non-standard base-pairing at the 3rd anti-codon position. The record is from RNAcentral. Lineage: Bacteria; Bacillati; Bacillota; Bacilli; Lactobacillales; Aerococcaceae.